This 1369-nucleotide ribosomal RNA is filed under the name uncultured bacterium. Its description in RNAcentral is "bacterial SSU rRNA". It matches the Rfam family "Bacterial small subunit ribosomal RNA", at positions 28 to 1381 of the family's 1533-position model. The record is from RNAcentral.
GACGAACGCUGGCGGCGUGCCUAAUACAUGCAAGUAGAACGCUGAAGAGAGGAGCUUGCUCUUCUUGGAUGAGUUGCGAACGGGUGAGUAACGCGUAGGUAACCUGCCUUGUAGCGGGGGAUAACUAUUGGAAACGAUAGCUAAUACCGCAUAACAAUGGAUGACACAUGUCAUUUAUUUGAAAGGGGCAAUUGCUCCACUACAAGAUGGACCUGCGUUGUAUUAGCUAGUAGGUGAGGUAACGGCUCACCUAGGCGACGAUACAUAGCCGACCUGAGAGGGUGAUCGGCCACACUGGGACUGAGACACGGCCCAGACUCCUACGGGAGGCAGCAGUAGGGAAUCUUCGGCAAUGGGGGCAACCCUGACCGAGCAACGCCGCGUGAGUGAAGAAGGUUUUCGGAUCGUAAAGCUCUGUUGUAAGUCAAGAACGAGUGUGAGAGUGGAAAGUUCACACUGUGACGGUAGCUUACCAGAAAGGGACGGCUAACUACGUGCCAGCAGCCGCGGUAAUACGUAGGUCCCGAGCGUUGUCCGGAUUUAUUGGGCGUAAAGCGAGCGCAGGCGGUUUGAUAAGUCUGAAGUUAAAGGCUGUGGCUCAACCAUAGUUCGCUUUGGAAACUGUCAAACUUGAGUGCAGAAGGGGAGAGUGGAAUUCCAUGUGUAGCGGUGAAAUGCGUAGAUAUAUGGAGGAACACCGGUGGCGAAAGCGGCUCUCUGGUCUGUAACUGACGCUGAGGCUCGAAAGCGUGGGGAGCGAACAGGAUUAGAUACCCUGGUAGUCCACGCCGUAAACGAUGAGUGCUAGGUGUUGGAUCCUUUCCGGGAUUCAGUGCCGCAGCUAACGCAUUAAGCACUCCGCCUGGGGAGUACGACCGCAAGGUUGAAACUCAAAGGAAUUGACGGGGGCCCGCGCAAGCGGUGGAGCAUGUGGUUUAAUCCGAAGCAACGCGAAGAACCUUACCAGGUCUUGACAUCCCGAUGCUAUUUCUAGAGAUAGAAAGUUACUUCGGUACAUCGGUGACAGGUGGUGCAUGGUUGUCGUCAGCUCGUGUCGUGAGAUGUUGGGUUAAGUCCCGCAACGAGCGCAACCCCUAUUGUUAGUUGCCAUCAUUCAGUUGGGCACUCUAGCGAGACUGCCGGUAAUAAACCGGAGGAAGGUGGGGAUGACGUCAAAUCAUCAUGCCCCUUAUGACCUGGGCUACACACGUGCUACAAUGGUUGGUACAACGAGUUGCGAGUCGGUGACGGCAAGCUAAUCUCUUAAAGCCAAUCUCAGUUCGGAUUGUAGGCUGCAACUCGCCUACAUGAAGUCGGAAUCGCUAGUAAUCGCGGAUCAGCACGCCGCGGUGAAUACGUUCCCGGGCCU